AUCCAGAUGACGAGUCCCAAAUAGGACGAAAUGCUCGUCCUCUAU
RNAcentral lists this non-coding RNA (45 nucleotides) under Schistosoma mansoni. The record is from RNAcentral. Lineage: Eukaryota; Metazoa; Platyhelminthes; Trematoda; Strigeidida; Schistosomatidae.